This 290-nucleotide unclassified non-coding RNA is filed under the name Conidiobolus coronatus. RNAcentral's name for it is "partial internal transcribed spacer region". The stretch from base 1 to 46 matches the Rfam family "Eukaryotic small subunit ribosomal RNA", at positions 1786 to 1831 of the family's 1831-position model. The record is from RNAcentral. Lineage: Eukaryota; Fungi; Entomophthoromycota; Entomophthoromycetes; Entomophthorales; Conidiobolaceae.
AAGUCGUAACAAGGUUUCCGUAGGUGAACCUGCGGAAGGAUCAUUAAUUAUUUGUAAUUAUUAUGAUUAUAUUUAAUUAGUCACGUAACUGUAUUUAAGUGAGUUUAACUUAUUUGAAUCAGUUUAUUGACAUCUAAUUGAUUUAGUUUCGAUCGUUUAUUAUAAAUGGUCUGAAGCGUUAAUUCAGGUUUAAAACCCUGAAUCAAAACUAAUGUUAAUGUUAAUUUAUCCAAAAUUAUAUUCUAAUUAUUAAUUACUUAAUAACUAAUAACAAUGGAUCUCUUGGCACU